This 468-nucleotide ribosomal RNA is filed under the name uncultured bacterium. RNAcentral describes it as "partial 16S ribosomal RNA". It matches the Rfam family "Bacterial small subunit ribosomal RNA", at positions 28 to 507 of the family's 1533-position model. The record is from RNAcentral.
GACGAACGCUGGCGGCGUGCCUAACACAUGCAAGUCGAACGGAAAGACCCUGCUUUUGUGGGGUUCUCGUGUGGCGAACGGGUGAGUAAAACGUGAGUAACCUGCCCUUGACAGUGGGAGAACUUCAGGAAACUGGGGCUAAUACCGGAUAUGAGCUCCUGCAGCAUGGUGGUGGUUGGUAAGAUUCGGCGGUUGGGGAUGGACUCGCGGCUUAUCCGCUUGUUGGGGGGGUAGGGGCUUACCAAGGCUUCGACGGGUAGCCGGCCUGAGAGGGUGACCGGCCACAUUGGGACUGAGAUACGGCCCAGACUCCUACGGGAGGCAGCAGGGGGGAAUAUUGCACAAUGGGCGGACGCCUGAUGCAGAGACGCCGCGUGCGGGAUGACGGCCUUCGGGUUGUAAACCGAUUUCGCCUGUGACGAAGCGUGAGUGACGGUAAUGGGUAAAGAAGCACCGGCUAACUACGUG